UGAAGGAUGAAGGCCUUCUGGGUUGUAAACUUCUUUUAUCUGGGAAGAAACCUCCGAUUUCUAUUGGAGCCGACGGUACCAGAUGAAUAAGCACCGGCUAACUCCGUGCCAGCAGCCGCGGUAAUACGGAGGGUGCAAGCGUUAUCCGGAUUCACUGGAUUUAAAGGGUGUGUAGGCGGGCUAUUAAGUCAGUGGUGAAAUCUCUGAGCUCAACUCAGAAACUGCCGUUGAUACUAUUAGUCUUGAAUAUCGAUGAGGUAGGCGGAAUAUGUCAUGUAGCGGUGAAAUGCUUAGAUAUGACAUAGAACACCGAUUGCGAAGGCAGCUUACUAAACGAUCAUUGACGCUGAGGCACGAAAGCGUGGGGAUCAAACAGGAUUAGAUACCCUGGUAGUCCACGCCCUAAACGA
Molecule: ribosomal RNA, 410 nt
Filed under: uncultured bacterium
Lineage: Bacteria
Description: bacterial SSU rRNA
Rfam family: Bacterial small subunit ribosomal RNA
Source: RNAcentral